CUACUAUAAAAGACAACGUCCAGUCAUUCCAGAGAUGGACAAAUCUCCCUCCGUAUGGCGUUUCAUCGAACCUCAUCCCCUGGAUUUUUUUUGGAAUAUAUAUGGGUUUCCCAAAAUCAACUCAUCUUUGAGAACAGAGAUUCGACACCCACUAAAACAGUUGGAUUCACUAUACUCUCAGCCAGAGAAUGGGAACAGGCCCAAUCUCUGGUGCCUCAUCACCUCCCAAAAACCAUCGAGACCCUCCCCUAUCAGGUACCGGAAGCAACUAUCAAUUGCUACACAGAUGGCUCUUGGAGAGCAGAUCAGAAACAUGCGGGACUUCGCUGGGUAUUCAUCGAUGGCUCCGGGACGACAAUCAACAAGGGCUCGAGGGGUCGGAUUUAUAAAGGUUUGAAAGCGGGUCUGAGUUUUCCAAUCUAGGGACCCCUUUCGUGUUACGGCAGCGCGUGGAGGAGGAGGGAGGGCUCAACCACUACAUCUGGGGUACUUCGGAGGGGUUCCUUAACCUCGUCCUCGUGUUAAUUCAUAGUCCGGCUUCUGAGUGUGUUGGUGCUGGUCUCGUUCACACGCGGAGAUAAGAUGUGAUGCGACUUGGUUUUGUCUUCUAUGGCCUUUCCAGUGCAUCUCAGUCGAUCUCCCUCCCUUCUGUCCUCUCCUCUUCUUGAACUGGACUGCUGCAGCUUUUGGAUUCUCUCUUUGGUUCUCGGAGGAGGCAAUGGGUGGAGUCGGGGGUCUUCUCCACUGGAAUUCGAGUUUGAUCUUCUAUUCAGUAGCUCCCGUUGGUGGACUAACAAUCCCAACACCAUACCCAACUCGUGUUUGGUCAUGGUGUGUUGGUUCCCAAAUCUUUUAUGCAAGUCUGUGGGCUCUCUGGUAAUAGGUUCAGCGCCUGUCUCGAAUCCAUCUUCUUGCUUGUGCUUUGUUGGCGGUGAUAUAGUAUUGUCAUCUAUUAUUUGUCUCUGUUUGUAUUUUGAUUCUCGGAUUCACACCUCAUCUCCAAGGAAUGGUGCUCUAGUUAAUGGGUUCGAAACUGUCAUUCAAUUUUCUCUGUGGUUAGAGCUUUGGUGAGCAGGAUAGGCCAGUUGAGAAUGGUGGUUCCCCUCAAUGUUUGUGUCCUGUUCCAUUCUCUCGAGUUUCGUCCACCGGCAGAAGAAAGAAGUGGUGGGUGAUCCUUAAUACUAUGAUCAUUAAUAAUGUAUGUCGGCGCCUAAUUUGAGAAAGAAGUGAAGAUAGAGUGGUCGGUUUCACUUCGGUGGAGUCGGAGUCGUUGACCGCAGAUCUACUGUAACGAUGAAGGACCGUCCUCGGUCUUUUGAGCCUAGGUUUUUUUCCUUCCGCUUUAUGUUCCUUAAAUUCUCUAUAUAUAAGUAGUGAUAAGCCUAAUAUAUUAGCGAUGAUUACUGUUUUUCUAUUGGUUAGUCGAAGACUUGUUCUGGUGCCCGUUUUCUCGGGCUGGUCAUUAAUUAAUAUAAAAGUAUUUACUGGUUA
Brassica oleracea var. oleracea is the source of this 1491-nucleotide long non-coding RNA. RefSeq lists it as uncharacterized. The transcript has 4 exons. Lineage: Eukaryota; Viridiplantae; Streptophyta; Magnoliopsida; Brassicales; Brassicaceae. The record is from RefSeq and is a predicted model, not a curated record.